UUGCUUUCUCCGUUGAAACAGGUGCCUCUUUUGUGGAAGACUUCGAAUCAAUAGAUGUCUGACUAUCUGCUACAGGCACCGGAAGAGCACUUGCACUGCCAAAGACUUCAUCGUUGUUUGAUAUCUCCAACUUUGCAACAUCAAGCUCAUGUUUGUCAGUUAUUGCCUCCCUCAGCCGCAAUUCUUUGGAAUCUGCUGAUGAAAAUAUUUGUUCCUUCUUCG
Molecule: unclassified non-coding RNA, 222 nt
Filed under: Hevea brasiliensis (rubber tree)
Lineage: Eukaryota; Viridiplantae; Streptophyta; Magnoliopsida; Malpighiales; Euphorbiaceae
Source: RNAcentral